RNAcentral lists this unclassified non-coding RNA (377 nucleotides) under Hevea brasiliensis (rubber tree). The record is from RNAcentral. Lineage: Eukaryota; Viridiplantae; Streptophyta; Magnoliopsida; Malpighiales; Euphorbiaceae.
CUUUCUUUAGCCUGCUCAUGUCCUUUCUUUAGCUAGCUCACAGCACCACACCAGUGUCCCACGCUGAAACUCCAUACUCUAAUCAAAAUGACAAUGGCAAUGUCAAUCUCCUCGCUCACCUCAUCCGUGUCUUCGCUUUCUUUCUCUUCUCAGAUUUCGGAAAAACCAAACACCCUCUCACUUUCCCGUUCAAAUUCCCUUUCGCUCUCGCUUUCCUCCAAACCUGCUCGUCUUCUUGUCUCCGCCACGGUUGCGUCGCCAGUCGAAUCCGAGGCCACCGAUAUCAAGAAAUUAGUUAAGUCGAGGCUACCCGGUGGAUUCGCUGCUCAACCAAUCUUCGGCACCGGUCGCCGUAAAUGCGCCAUUGCUCGAGUCGU